This 164-nucleotide small nuclear RNA is filed under the name Sinocyclocheilus rhinocerous. RNAcentral's name for it is "U1 spliceosomal RNA (ENSSRHG00000001532.1)". It matches the Rfam family "U1 spliceosomal RNA". Rfam says of the family: U1 is a small nuclear RNA (snRNA) component of the spliceosome (involved in pre-mRNA splicing). Its 5' end forms complementary base pairs with the 5' splice junction, thus defining the 5' donor site of an intron. The record is from Rfam by way of RNAcentral. Lineage: Eukaryota; Metazoa; Chordata; Actinopteri; Cypriniformes; Cyprinidae.
AUACUUACCUGGUAGGGGAGACUCCAUGAUCAAGAAGGUGGUUCACCCAGGGUGUGGUUCAGCUAUUGCACUCUGGUUGUGCUGAUUCCUGCGAAUUUCCCAAAUGUGGGAAUCUUGACUGCAUAAUUUAUGAUAGUGGAGUACUGCGUUCGUGCUCUUACCUG